Anas platyrhynchos (mallard) is the source of this 1779-nucleotide long non-coding RNA. RefSeq lists it as uncharacterized. Lineage: Eukaryota; Metazoa; Chordata; Aves; Anseriformes; Anatidae. The record is from RefSeq and is a predicted model, not a curated record.
AAGCAACAGGACACCCAGGCAGGCAGGGGCAGGGCGGGCUCGCAGUUACUUAUAAACUUUUAUCUGCUUUGGCAUGGAGAGCCCGUGGUUAUGCUUCAGCAGCCUUCAAAGCAGCCCCAUUUGUCUUUCAGAGCCCUUCUUUUUUUUCUUUUUUUUUUUUUUUUUUUUUUUUUCUUUCUUUCUAGCUAUACUGUAGAUUAAAUAUGGGAAUAGGGGAGAAAUUUAAACUUAUUUCAAGCACAAGCUCCAGGCCUGAUUUGCGCUGGCUGUUUAGUGCCAGCUUCCCGCUUGGCUGGCUUAGCACAGUGGGACAGAAGUCCGUGUGGGAGAUAAAGCUGAAAGACACUGAUGUGCAACACAACACUGCAGCCCCAGGACCAGGAGGAAGAGACUUUCUGGUGGGAAGAACACAGCCAGGCACCAGUAACGGUGAAGAUUAUUAUAGUCAGCUGCAUAAAUCUCACACAACAGCUGAGGUGUUCCUUAAUUAUAAACCCAUUUAGCGGCACACCUGACAAUGGCAAGUACUUUCCUAGACUGCUGCCUUGCAGGUGGUCACAACUGCUCUGUGAAACUCUAUUUAAGGUUGAAGAUGUUUGAGGAACUGCCACGGUUUGUGUUUUGCCUCAGAGCAUUGCGUUGUGCCUAAGGCCUCCUGUGAUUGAGACAACAAACUGAAGUCUGCACAGGGCCGCUUAGUGGGAGCAGAGCCCCGAGGUGCACGGGGACAAGCAGGGGGCCUGGCUGACAAGCAGUGACACCUCAUCCCCCCGCCAGGUGCUAACCCAGCUCUACACCCAGCCGUGUCCCAGGGACAGGGGACAGCAGCAAGAAGAGGCCCGGGGCUCUGCCCGGUUCCAGCUGAUGCCCCAUGCUGCUUCCAAGCACAGCUCAGGAUUAGCAGGGGUCAAAGCCGGUGUUUUGGUGGCUCUGGUGACAGGAAGGCAACGGGAGGUGGUUGCAACUGUGGCACUACCAGAGGAUUUCCCCCUCACAGUACCUGCUCUAGUUUGCCUGUUCCUGCCGUAGGGCAGGGCGCCCCUCCAGGCUGUGGAGGUUCUGCUGCCACACAGCAGCCAGGGCCAUUUUAGAGCAUCAGAAACCUGAAAGGGCAUUGACCAUCUCCCUGACAGCUAUUUGUCCAUCAUUUUUCCUCUUUUUGCAUGGCCACACAAUGAAGGGGAUUUGUAUUAAUUUUUAACAAGUGGCCACAGGGAGGACAAGACCCCAACCUUCUCCAGCAGCAGCCACACUCAUGGAAGCUCAGCUUGCCCCGCACACCCGCAGGCACCAGCACUUCCAGCAGCUCCCAGUCCCUGCAGCGAGCAGGGGCACUGUGGCACAGCAAGGUGGGACCACGACUGAAAUGCUGAUGGGAGGCAGGGUCAGAAGCGGCUGACAAUUUUGGUUACUUGCCCCCGGUUUAUACCAGAGCCUCUGUGUCAGGCUAGGCUGGUAAUGUGCAGAUCACGAAGGUGACUGCAUCGCGGAGCAGCGAAGGGAACCGGAGAAAGGUCAUUCCCCAUGGAGGAGAAGUACAAAAGUCAGAUUGAGGAACACAGCAUAAUCUUUAUUAUGGUUGUUAUAUUAGCUUGCUAAAUUGGCUAAGAGAGUUGAGCAACAGCUUGCUAAGGACAAGGGAAGCUGAAUACAUGAUGACAACGUGCCAGCAGCACUGGAGUAAAUUAAUAAAAAAGCCAAGCUCCCUGACACGAGCGCUGACACAAAGAAGCUAAUGGGGGCUUCCAUUACCAAAGCUUCUUUUAUGGGGAAAAGGCA